CGGUAAUUCCAGCUCCAAUAGCGUAUAUUAAAGUUGUUGCAGUUAAAAAGCUCGUAGUUGGAUCUCGGGUCCAGGCCUGCGGUCCGCCUCGCGGCGGUUACUGCUCGUCCUGGCCUACCUGCCGGUGUGUCCCUUGGUGCUCUUGAUUGAGUGUCUCGGGCGGCCGGAACGUUUACUUUGAAAAAAUUAGAGUGUUCAAAGCAGGCGUGUCGCCUGAAUAAUGGUGCAUGGAAUGAUGGAAUAGGACCUCGGUUCUAUUUUGUUGGUUUUCGGAGCUCGAGGUAAUGAUUAAGAGGGACUGACGGGGGCAUUCGUAUUGCGGUGUUAGAGGUGAAAUUCUUGGAUCAUCGCAAGACGAACUACAGCGAAAGCAUUUGCCAAGCAUGUUUUCAUUAAUCAA
RNAcentral lists this ribosomal RNA (400 nucleotides) under Hiatella arctica. Its description in RNAcentral is "SSU rRNA". It matches the Rfam family "Eukaryotic small subunit ribosomal RNA", at positions 577 to 980 of the family's 1831-position model. The record is from RNAcentral. Lineage: Eukaryota; Metazoa; Mollusca; Bivalvia; Adapedonta; Hiatellidae.